UGGGGAAUAUUGCACAAUGGGGGAAACCCUGAUGCAGCCAUGCCGCGUGUGUGAAGAAGGCCUUCGGGUUGUAAAGCACUUUCAGCGAGGAGGAAAGGGGUGAUGCUAAUACCAUUAUCCUGUGACGUUACUCGCAGAAGAAGCACCGGCUAACUCCGUGCCAGCAGCCGCGGUAAUACGGAGGGUGCAAGCGUUAAUCGGAAUAACUGGGCGUAAAGCGCACGCAGGCGGUCGGAUAAGUCAGAUGUGAAAGCCCCGGGCUCAACCGGGGAACUGCAUUUGAAACUGUUCGACUAGAGUCUUGUAGAGGGGGGUAGAAUUCCAGGUGUAGCGGUGAAAUGCGUAGAGAUCUGGAGGAAUACCGGUGGCGAAGGCGGUCCCCUGGACAAAGACUGACGCUCAGGUGCGAAAGCGUGGGGAGCAAACA
RNAcentral lists this ribosomal RNA (427 nucleotides) under uncultured prokaryote. RNAcentral's name for it is "bacterial SSU rRNA". It matches the Rfam family "Bacterial small subunit ribosomal RNA", at positions 355 to 774 of the family's 1533-position model. The record is from RNAcentral.